UAGGGAAUCUUCGGCAAUGGGGGCAACCCUGACCGAGCAACGCCGCGUGAGUGAAGAAGGUUUUCGGAUCGUAAAGCUCUGUUGUAAGAGAAGAACGUGUGUGAGAGUGGAUAGUUCACACAGUGACGGUAACUUACCAGAAAGGUACGGCUAACUACGUGCCAGCAGCCGCGGUAAUACGUAGGUCCCGAGCGUUGUCCGGAUUUAUUGGGCGUAAAGCGAGCGCAGGCGGUUUAAUAAGUCUGAAGUUAAAGGCAGUGGCUUAACCAUUGUUCGCUUUGGAAACUGUUAAACUUGAGUGCAGAAGGGGAGAGUGGAAUUCCAUGUGUAGCGGUGAAAUGCGUAGAUAUAUGGAGGAACACCGGUGGCGAAAGCGGCUCUCUGGUCUGUAACUGACGCUGAGGCUCGAAAGCGUGGGGAGCAAGCAGG
Molecule: ribosomal RNA, 429 nt
Filed under: bacterium
Lineage: Bacteria
Description: partial 16S ribosomal RNA
Rfam family: Bacterial small subunit ribosomal RNA
Source: RNAcentral